GAACGGUAAGGCUCCAGCUUGCUGGGGUACACRAGUGGCGAACGGGUGAGUAACACGUGGGUGACCUGCCCUGCACUUCGGGAUAAGCCUGGGAAACUGGGUCUAAUACCGGAUAGGACCGCACCGUGAGGGUGUGGUGGAAAGUUUUUUCGGUGUGGGAUGGGCCCGCGGCCUAUCAGCUUGUUGGUGGGGUAAUGGCCUACCAAGGCGGCGACGGGUAGCCGGCCUGAGAGGGUGGACGGCCACAUUGGGACUGAGACACGGCCCAGACUCCUACGGGAGGCAGCAGUGGGGAAUAUUGCACAAUGGGCGGAAGCCUGAUGCAGCGACGCCGCGUGGGGGAUGACGGCCUUCGGGUUGUAAACUCCUUUCACCAUCGACGAAGGGUUUCUGACGGUAGAUGGAGAAGAAGCACCGGCUAACUACGUGCCAGCAGCCGCGGUAAUACGUAGGGUGCGAGCGUUGUCCGGAAUUACUGGGCGUAAAGAGCUCGUAGGUGGUUUGUCGCGUCGUCUGUGAAAUUCCGGGGCUUAACUCCGGGCGUGCAGGCGAUACGGGCAUAACUUGAGUACUGUAGGGGAGACUGGAAUUCCUGGUGUAGCGGUGAAAUGCGCAGAUAUCAGGAGGAACACCGGUGGCGAAGGCGGGUCUCUGGGCAGUAACUGACGCUGAGGAGCGAAAGCAUGGGGAGCGAACAGGAUUAGAUACCCUGGUA
Molecule: ribosomal RNA, 715 nt
Filed under: Corynebacterium amycolatum
Lineage: Bacteria; Bacillati; Actinomycetota; Actinomycetes; Mycobacteriales; Corynebacteriaceae
Description: bacterial SSU rRNA
Rfam family: Bacterial small subunit ribosomal RNA
Source: RNAcentral